AAAUUGAAGAGUUUGAUCAUGGCUCAGAUUGAACGCUGGCGGCAGGCCUAACACAUGCAAGUCGAACGGUAACAGGAAGCAGCUUGCUGCUUUGCUGACGAGUGGCGGACGGGUGAGUAAUGUCUGGGAAACUGCCUGAUGGAGGGGGAUAACUACUGGAAACGGUGGCUAAUACCGCAUAACGUCGCAAGACCAAAGAGGGGGACCUUCGGGCCUCUUGCCAUCAGAUGUGCCCAGAUGGGAUUAGCUUGUUGGUGAGGUAACGGCUCACCAAGGCGACGAUCCCUAGCUGGUCUGAGAGGAUGACCAGCCACACUGGAACUGAGACACGGUCCAGACUCCUACGGGAGGCAGCAGUGGGGAAUAUUGCACAAUGGGCGCAAGCCUGAUGCAGCCAUGCCGCGUGUAUGAAGAAGGCCUUCGGGUUGUAAAGUACUUUCAGCGGGGAGGAAGGUGUUGUGGUUAAUAACCGCAGCAAUUGACGUUACCCGCAGAAGAAGCACCGGCUAACUCCGUGCCAGCAGCCGCGGUAAUACGGAGGGUGCAAGCGUUAAUCGGAAUUACUGGGCGUAAAGCGCACGCAGGCGGUCUGUCAAGUCGGAUGUGAAAUCCCCGGGCUCAACCUGGGAACUGCAUUCGAAACUGGCAGGCUUGAGUCUUGUAGAGGGGGGUAGAAUUCCAGGUGUAGCGGUGAAAUGCGUAGAGAUCUGGAGGAAUACCGGUGGCGAAGGCGGCCCCCUGGACAAAGACUGACGCUCAGGUGCGAAAGCGUGGGGAGCAAACAGGAUUAGAUACCCUGGUAGUCCACGCCGUAAACGAUGUCUACUUGGAGGUUGUGCCCUUGAGGCGUGGCUUCCGGAGCUAACGCGUUAAGUAGACCGCCUGGGGAGUACGGCCGCAAGGUUAAAACUCAAAUGAAUUGACGGGGGCCCGCACAAGCGGUGGAGCAUGUGGUUUAAUUCGAUGCAACGCGAAGAACCUUACCUGGUCUUGACAUCCACGGAAGAAUUCAGAGAUGGAUUUGUGCCUUCGGGAACCGUGAGACAGGUGCUGCAUGGCUGUCGUCAGCUCGUGUUGUGAAAUGUUGGGUUAAGUCCCGCAACGAGCGCAACCCUUAUCCUUUGUUGCCAGCGGUUAGGCCGGGAACUCAAAGGAGACUGCCAGUGAUAAACUGGAGGAAGGUGGGGAUGACGUCAAGUCAUCAUGGCCCUUACGACCAGGGCUACACACGUGCUACAAUGGCGCAUACAAAGAGAAGCGACCUCGCGAGAGCAAGCGGACCUCAUAAAGUGCGUCGUAGUCCGGAUUGGAGUCUGCAACUCGACUCCAUGAAGUCGGAAUCGCUAGUAAUCGUGGAUCAGAAUGCCACGGUGAAUACGUUCCCGGGCCUUGUACACACCGCCCGUCACACCAUGGGAGUGGGUUGCAAAAGAAGUAGGUAGCUUAACCUUCGGGAGGGCGCUUACCACUUUGUGAUUCAUGACUGGGGUGAAGUCGUAACAAGGUAACCGUAGGGGAACCUGCGGUUGGAUCACCUCCUUA
RNAcentral lists this ribosomal RNA (1542 nucleotides) under Salmonella enterica. RNAcentral describes it as "bacterial SSU rRNA". It matches the Rfam family "Bacterial small subunit ribosomal RNA". Lineage: Bacteria; Pseudomonadati; Pseudomonadota; Gammaproteobacteria; Enterobacterales; Enterobacteriaceae. RNAcentral also lists the same sequence under 3 other names. The record is from RNAcentral.